AUACGUAGGGGGCGAGCGUUGUCCGGAAUGAUUGGGCGUAAAGGGCGCGUAGGCGGUCUGUUAAGUCUGGAGUGAAAGUCCUGUUUUCAAGAUGGGAAUUGCUUUGGAUACUGAUGGGCUUGAGUGCAGGAGAGGUUAUCGGAAUUCCCGGUGUAGCGGUGAAAUGCGUAGAGAUCGGGAGGAACACCAGUGGCGAAGGCGGGUAACUGGACUGCAACUGACGCUGAGGCGCGAAAGUGUGGGGAGCAAACAGGAUUAGAUACCCUGGUAGUCCACACUGUAAACGAUGAAUGCUAGGUGUAAGAGGUAUCGACCCCUUUUGUGCCGGAGUCAACACAAUAAGCAUUCCGCCUGGGGAGUACGGCCGCAAGGUUGAAACUCAAAGGAAUUGACGGGG
RNAcentral lists this ribosomal RNA (397 nucleotides) under uncultured bacterium. Its description in RNAcentral is "partial 16S ribosomal RNA". It matches the Rfam family "Bacterial small subunit ribosomal RNA", at positions 523 to 918 of the family's 1533-position model. The record is from RNAcentral.